Molecule: transfer RNA, 72 nt
Organism: Camelus ferus (Wild Bactrian camel)
Lineage: Eukaryota; Metazoa; Chordata; Mammalia; Artiodactyla; Camelidae
Rfam family: tRNA
About the family: Transfer RNA (tRNA) molecules are approximately 80 nucleotides in length. Their secondary structure includes four short double-helical elements and three loops (D, anti-codon, and T loops). Further hydrogen bonds mediate the characteristic L-shaped molecular structure. tRNAs have two regions of fundamental functional importance: the anti-codon, which is responsible for specific mRNA codon recognition, and the 3' end, to which the tRNAs corresponding amino acid is attached (by aminoacyl-tRNA synthetases). tRNAs cope with the degeneracy of the genetic code in two manners: having more than one tRNA (with a specific anti-codon) for a particular amino acid; and 'wobble' base-pairing, i.e. permitting non-standard base-pairing at the 3rd anti-codon position.
Source: Rfam
GAGGGUAUAGGUCAGUGGUAUUGUGUGUGCUUAGCAUGCACAGGGUUCUGGGUUCAAUCCCCAGUACUUCCA